RNAcentral lists this ribosomal RNA (246 nucleotides) under Staphylococcus aureus. RNAcentral describes it as "partial 23S ribosomal RNA". It matches the Rfam family "Bacterial large subunit ribosomal RNA", at positions 1 to 241 of the family's 2925-position model. The record is from RNAcentral. Lineage: Bacteria; Bacillati; Bacillota; Bacilli; Caryophanales; Staphylococcaceae.
AUAGAUUAAGUUAUUAAGGGCGCACGGUGGAUGCCUUGGCACUAGAAGCCGAUGAAGGACGUUACUAACGACGAUAUGCUUUGGGGAGCUGUAAGUAAGCUUUGAUCCAGAGAUUUCCAAAUGGGGAAACCCAACAUGAGUUAUGUCAUGUUAUCGAUAUGUGAAUACAUAGCAUAUCAGAAGGCACACCCGGAGAACUGAAACAUCUUAGUACCCGGAGGAAGAGAAAGAAAAAUCGAUUCCCUU